AAUGUUUGAUGUUCUAACGUGGGCCCCUUACCGGGGUUGCGGACAGUGUCUGGUGGGUAGUUUGACUGGGGCGGUCUCCUCCUAAAGAGUAACGGAGGAGCACGAAGGUUGGCUAAUCCUGGUCGGACAUCAGGAGGUUAGUGCAAUGGCAUAAGCCAGCUUGACUGCGAGCGUGACGGCGCGAGCAGGUGCGAAAGCAGGUCAUAGUGAUCCGGUGGUUCUGAAUGGAAGGGCCAUCGCUCAACGGAUAAAAGGUACUCCGGGGAUAACAGGCUGAUACCGCCCAAGAGUUCAUAUCGACGGCGGUGUUUGGCACCUCGAUGUCGGCUCAUCACAUCCUGGGGCUGAAGUAGGUCCCAAGGGUAUGGCUGUUCGCCAUUUAAAGUGGUACGCGAGCUGGGUUUAGAACGUCGUGAGACAGUUCGGUCCCUAUCUGCCGUGGGCGCUGGAGAACUGAGGGGGGCUGCUCCUAGUACGAGAGGACCGGAGUGGACGCAUCACUGGUGUUCGGGUUGUCAUGCCAAUGGCACUGCCCGGUAGCUAAAUGCGGAAGAGAUAAGUGCUGAAAGCAUCUAAGCACGAAACUUGCCCCGAGAUGAGUUCUCCCUGACUCCUUGAGAGUCCUGAAGGAACGUUGAAGACGACGACGUUGAUAGGCCGGGUGUGUAAGCGCAGCGAUGCGUUGAGCUAACCGGUACUAAUGAACCGUGAGGCUUAACCUUACAACGCCGAAG
This 734-nucleotide ribosomal RNA is filed under the name Escherichia coli. RNAcentral's name for it is "partial 23S ribosomal RNA". It matches the Rfam family "Bacterial large subunit ribosomal RNA", at positions 2209 to 2925 of the family's 2925-position model. Lineage: Bacteria; Pseudomonadati; Pseudomonadota; Gammaproteobacteria; Enterobacterales; Enterobacteriaceae. The record is from RNAcentral.